This 430-nucleotide long non-coding RNA is filed under the name Erythranthe guttata (spotted monkey flower). Its description in RNAcentral is "long non-coding RNA (EGUT_LNC000104)". Lineage: Eukaryota; Viridiplantae; Streptophyta; Magnoliopsida; Lamiales; Phrymaceae. The record is from RNAcentral.
AUAAAUAAGAAAAGAAAAAAGAUAAACCAAUAAAUAAAGCCCCAAAGCCGAAAUAGAAGCGAGUGUUUCUCCUUUCUCUCUCCUCACUCUUUCUCUCUCAUAAACACACACACACUCCCACAAAUACACACACUCCCACACACACACACACACACACACACACACACACAAAACUCUUGCUCUAACUCUGAAAUAGAGGAAGCAGAAACUGAGCAGAGAAGUUUUAAUGCUGUUCACACACAAGCCCUGAACUUGUUUACUUCUCUCUCUCUCUCAUCUCUCUCUCUGUAUCUCUCUGUGUGAGUUUUAUGAGGGAGUGUUAUCUUCUUUAAGAAGACAUCCUUGGCUCAGAUCUGUUGCUUUUUAACUUCAAAAUCUCUUACAUUGUUUCUCCUUUCCUUUGUCUCUCUUGUGUUUUUCCGGUGGUCUG